RNAcentral lists this transfer RNA (69 nucleotides) under Rattus norvegicus (Norway rat). It matches the Rfam family "tRNA". From Rfam's summary of the family: Transfer RNA (tRNA) molecules are approximately 80 nucleotides in length. Lineage: Eukaryota; Metazoa; Chordata; Mammalia; Rodentia; Muridae. The record is from Rfam by way of RNAcentral.
GGGGAUUUAGCUCAGUGGUAGAGCGCUUGCAUAGCAAGCACAAGGUCCUGGGUUCGGUCCCCAGCUCCA